CAGUGCGCAUCUAUCAUGCAGUCGAGCGGACCGAACGGAAGCUUGCUUCUGUUCGGUUAGCGGCGGACGGGUGAGUAACACGUGGGUAACCUGCCCGUAAGACCGGGAUAACUCCGGGAAACCGGGGCUAAUACCGGAUAACACCGAAGACCGCAUGGUCUUUGGUUGAAAGGUGGCUUUUGCUACCACUUACGGAUGGGCCCGCGGCGCAUUAGCUAGUUGGUGAGGUAACGGCUCACCAAGGCGACGAUGCGUAGCCGGCCUGAGAGGGUGACCGGCCACACUGGGACUGAGACACGGCCCAGACUCCUACGGGAGGCAGCAGUAGGGAAUCUUCCGCAAUGGACGAAAGUCUGACGGAGCGACGCCGCGUGAGCGAAGAAGGUCUUCGGAUCGUAAAGCUCUGUUGUUAGGGAAGAAGAAGUACCGUUCGAAUAGGGCGGUACGGUGACGGUACCUAACGAGAAAGCCCCGGCUAACUACGUGCCAGCAGCCGCGGUAAUACGUAGGGGGCGAGCGUUGUCCGGAAUUAUUGGGCGUAAAGCGCGCGCAGGCGGUCCCUUAAGUCUGAUGUGAAAGCCCACGGCUCAUCCGUGGAGGGUCAUUUGGAAACUGGGGUGACUUGAGUGCAGAAGAGGAGAGCGUAAUUUCCACGUAUAGCCGUA
This 665-nucleotide ribosomal RNA is filed under the name Parageobacillus toebii. RNAcentral describes it as "bacterial SSU rRNA". It matches the Rfam family "Bacterial small subunit ribosomal RNA", at positions 40 to 683 of the family's 1533-position model. The record is from RNAcentral. Lineage: Bacteria; Bacillati; Bacillota; Bacilli; Caryophanales; Anoxybacillaceae.